RNAcentral lists this ribosomal RNA (437 nucleotides) under uncultured bacterium. Its description in RNAcentral is "partial 16S ribosomal RNA". It matches the Rfam family "Bacterial small subunit ribosomal RNA", at positions 29 to 507 of the family's 1533-position model. The record is from RNAcentral.
AGCGAACGCUGGCGGCAGGCUUAACACAUGCAAGUCGAGCGGGCAUCCUUGUGGUGUCAGCGGCAGACGGGUGAGUAACGCGUGGGAACGUGCCCUUCGGUUCGGAAUAACUCAGGGAAACUUGAGCUAAUACCGGAUACGUGCGAGAGCAGAAAGGUUUAUCUGCCGAAGGAUCGGCCCGCGUCUGAUUAGCUAGUUGGUGAGGUUAUGGCUCACCAAGGCGACGAUCAGUAGCUGGUCUGAGAGGAUGAUCAGCCACACUGGGACUGAGACACGGCCCAGACUCCUACGGGAGGCAGCAGUGGGGAAUAUUGGGCAAUGGGGGCAACCCUGAUCCAGCCAUGCCGCGUGAGUGAUGACGGCCUUAGGGUUGUAAAGCUCUUUUCUCCGGGACGAUAAUGACGGUACCGGAGGAAUAAGCCCCGGCUAACUUCGUG